CGCUUCCCAUAAAAAUAAAUUAUUUGACUAAUAUGUAUACCAAAUUAAGACUUCGGCUAAAUAUUAAGAUAAUAAAAAUUAAAUCUAUACAAUUAAAAUAAAAUCAUUCUAAAAAUCUAAUAUAAGAAGGAUGUUGAACCCAUGUAUAACUAUUUAUUAUUCUACCAUUAAUGAUUCUAACUAUACAAUAUUUUUAAUAUUUAUAAUAAAUCCCAAAAUAUUAUUCCUUAUGAUACUUUUUCUCUAACAAUAUUUCAUCAACCACGGUUUAUGUAACAACGUUAAAAACUUAAUAUAAAAAUAUUAUUGGACAGGAUCUAAACGUAAUGGAUCCAGAUCGGUUCAGGUAUAUAGGACCCGAAAAGAUUCAAAAUAUCUAAAAACCUAAAAAUACCUGAAACAUAGAAAAAAAACCAGAAACCCCCAAAA
RNAcentral lists this long non-coding RNA (429 nucleotides) under Brassica napus (rape). Its description in RNAcentral is "long non-coding RNA (BNAP_LNC010632)". The record is from RNAcentral. Lineage: Eukaryota; Viridiplantae; Streptophyta; Magnoliopsida; Brassicales; Brassicaceae.